Molecule: ribosomal RNA, 873 nt
Filed under: Lactiplantibacillus plantarum
Lineage: Bacteria; Bacillati; Bacillota; Bacilli; Lactobacillales; Lactobacillaceae
Description: bacterial SSU rRNA
Rfam family: Bacterial small subunit ribosomal RNA
Source: RNAcentral
GGCGCGGAGGGGCGGAAAGGGAAUACUAAGAGGAGUGGUAAAUGGUGAGUAACACGUGGGAAACCUGCCCAGAAGCGGGGGAUAACACCUGGAAACAGAUGCUAAUACCGCAUAACAACUUGGACCGCAUGGUCCGAGUUUGAAAGAUGGCUUCGGCUAUCACUUUUGGAUGGUCCCGCGGCGUAUUAGCUAGAUGGUGGGGUAACGGCUCACCAUGGCAAUGAUACGUAGCCGACCUGAGAGGGUAAUCGGCCACAUUGGGACUGAGACACGGCCCAAACUCCUACGGGAGGCAGCAGUAGGGAAUCUUCCACAAUGGACGAAAGUCUGAUGGAGCAACGCCGCGUGAGUGAAGAAGGGUUUCGGCUCGUAAAACUCUGUUGUUAAAGAAGAACAUAUCUGAGAGUAACUGUUCAGGUAUUGACGGUAUUUAACCAGAAAGCCACGGCUAACUACGUGCCAGCAGCCGCGGUAAUACGUAGGUGGCAAGCGUUGUCCGGAUUUAUUGGGCGUAAAGCGAGCGCAGGCGGUUUUUUAAGUCUGAUGUGAAAGCCUUCGGCUCAACCGAAGAAGUGCAUCGGAAACUGGGAAACUUGAGUGCAGAAGAGGACAGUGGAACUCCAUGUGUAGCGGUGAAAUGCGUAGAUAUAUGGAAGAACACCAGUGGCGAAGCGCUGUCUGGUCUGUAACUGACGCUGAGGCUCGAAAGUAUGGGUAGCAAACAGAUAGAUACCCUGGUAGUCCAUACCGUAACGAUGAAUGCUAAGUGUGAAGGGUUUCCGCCCUUCAGUGCUGCAGCUAACGCAUUAAGCAUUCCGCCUGGGGAGUACGGCCGCAAGGCUGAAACUCAAAGGAAUUGACGGGGGCCGCCAA